AGAUUUCGUCCCCUUAUCAAUUCAGGAUAACAAGUUUCCUAGUCGAUCUUGGCCCAUUUUAAUGCCAGAGACACAGAGCCAAAAACAGAGGAGCACUUACCUAAGUGAGCCAGAGAUGAGCAGUGAUGAACCAGCGAUGAACUAGUGAGAUCUUGGUGCUUCGUCUUCGACACUCGGCAGCGAUGAACCAGCACGGCAGGACACAGCCGACAGGAGACGUAGAGCGUGGCGGACUGGCGGAGGCUGGAGAGGCAGAGAGCAGCUUCGAUUUGGAGCGAUGAACCAGCACGGCAGGACACAGCCGACAGGAGACGUACAGCGCGGCGGACUGGCGGAGGCCGGAGAAGCAGAGAGCAGCUUCGAUUUGGGACUUGGGACUUGGGACUUGUUAAGGCGAUGGCGAUGGCGAUGGAGUCUCACAGAUGCGGCGAGCAACGGCGUCGGCGACGAACGGAGUGAGGGUGUAGAUCUAAAUCAGUCAGAGUCAGCUGCCGGCUGGUAAACUGAAUUUUUUUGCUAGGCUUUCUUCGAACAGAGAAGAAAGUCGCACAGUCGGCACAGAGAAGGAAGAAAUGUAUAUUAUUU
RNAcentral lists this long non-coding RNA (585 nucleotides) under Coffea arabica (coffee). Its description in RNAcentral is "long non-coding RNA (CARA_LNC002253)". The record is from RNAcentral. Lineage: Eukaryota; Viridiplantae; Streptophyta; Magnoliopsida; Gentianales; Rubiaceae.